Antechinus flavipes (yellow-footed antechinus) is the source of this 774-nucleotide long non-coding RNA. RefSeq lists it as uncharacterized. The record is from RefSeq and is a predicted model, not a curated record. NCBI's taxonomy places the organism in Eukaryota, Metazoa, Chordata, Mammalia, Dasyuromorphia, Dasyuridae. The transcript has 3 exons.
UCUGCAUGGUGUUGAGAGAGUACUGUUAUAUAAUAAGAAAUGAUACUGUCAGAAAAACUUGGGAAGACUUACACGAAGUUAGCAGAAUGAGGAAAACAGUACACUGGGUAACAGCAAGAUUGCACAGUGAAGAACUGGGAAUGACGGAGCUGGCCUGACAAAUAUGAAGGACUCAUUGUGAAAAAUGCUCUGCAGCUCCAGAAAAAGAACUGAUGGAAUCCAGGUGAAGCAGUCAAGACUCCCUCAGCUGAGUCCUACUGGGAACUGAGGACUUCUAAUUGCUAGAACCUGAGCAACCUUGAAGCUCCCCGGAGCUGCCUUCAAUUCUCUUCCUCAAGCUCCAGCAUCAGAAAUGAUUUCUUCCCUUUUCACUCCCAGAUUGCAGUAUAUCUUCCAUUCUGAAAGAGUUUCUAAAUAUCACAUGAAAGCACCUGAGUCAGAUCUCUGGUCUGUAUCCACAGGAGAAGAACUCGAAAGAUGGGAUAACUAAGAAUCAUGCCCCACACUGUGCCCACCCAAAACUCCCUCUUGUUCAUGCUAUAAGACAAAGAAUUCCUUUUUUUUUUUUUUUUAAUGAAUUCUUCAUGGAAACCACUAAGCUCCUGGAAGGUUCGACUCAAGAACCAUCUACAUCAAGACCGUUCUGGAUUUUCCCUGGGUGUCAGUGGCCUCUCUCCCUGUCACCACAGAUUCCAGAAAGUUUCCAGACAUCAGUAACUCAGUACAAGCAAACACUGGAGCCACAACCAGAAAAUAAAGUAAGCCAGCUUUACA